UUCCAUUCUUUCUCCCUCCCUGAGAUCAGCGACGCUCUCUCUCCAGUAGCCUCCUCUCUUAUCUCUCUCCAUUCUUCCCGGCGGAAAUCCCACCACCAAGAGGUGUGGUGCCGCCUCUCCUCUGUCUCAUUGCGGCUGGAACAGGCGAGCAGACGCCCAGUUCCAGGCCCCCCGCCUCUUCUCCUCUCUUUUCUCUUUCUCAGGCGAGGACAGACGCUUGAAACAGCAAUGAACCACCAGCCAUCGGCAGCAAUAACUUUGAGAAGCAGUCGCAACGACAACGGAAAGCAGCUGCCACUGCCUCUAUUUUCCUCCGGCCAGCAGUAGGCGACAAGACCUAUAGUAGCUCCAGCGAAGACCAGGCGGCCAGCAGCUCUACGAGCUUUCUGUUUUCCCUCGUUUUUCGUUGCUACGACAAAGGCCUCGGCAAAUUUUCUGAAUCUAGCUAAGGAUCCGCCCAGGUUUGUUCUCUCAAUUAGUUAUUAUUCAUAUCUUAAUGAUUAUUUGUUGAUUAUCGACAUGCUCUUGAUUUCUAUAUAAAGGUAUUUUCUAUGCAUAUUUACUUUAUAUAAGAUUAAUAGAUGCUUUGAAUUGCAUUGUAGAAGAAGCUAUAAGUUGCUAUUUUUCUGAUCUUAACCACGUUUUGUUGCAAGUUAUCGAUGUUUGAAUGUUCUUAUAUCUAUUAUUGACUUCGUUGUAAUUUUGCUCAAAGAAUUAGUAUGUUCUUGAUUCAGAUUGUUAAACCCUGCUUUAAAAUUGAUUAGCAUCCUAAACUAAUAUGAUGCACACUUGCCCCCAACUUUACUUAUUUAAGUGAUGCCUAUGGAUUUGUUCUUGAUGUGGUCAUUUUGAUUACUUAUCAACUUGUUAAUUGGUAUUGAUCCUUUUGUUGAGCUACAUGACUGAUGCAUUAAAAUGUUACUCUUGCCAUGAUAUGCAACCUGUCCGUAUAUGAUAAAAUUGUGGGUUCUGUGAUCUUUGAAAUAUUGAUUGGAGUUAUAUUUUAUACUUCUCCCUUAAUUUUUUUUUUUGAUUUGUAAUUGAUUGGUUAUUAAUUAAUAAAUUUUUUUCUUAUUCAGUUGUGGACAUAUUUUUGACAUGUUAAUUUUGGUUAAGUAUUUCUAGAAUUUGACUCAUAUUUGGCAAGAGUGUCUCUACUGAUUUGGCUCUUCUUUAUUUAAGAGAAAAUUAUAUCACUCUUCCUAAUUUUAUUUUAUUUAUUUAUGUUUGGUAAUGAAUAUUUUUAAUUCCGAUUCUAGCUCCUCUGAAAAAGAAAAACAAUAUAAAUUGAUCCCUUUUUCCUUAUUUGAAAAUUGAUUGAUUUCUUACUUGUUCUAUAUUUGGUAAAAUAAAUUUAAAAUAAUUUUGUUUGGCUCUUAUUUAUUUAAGGAAAAACAAUAUUAUCUUCCUAACUUUAUUUCAUACUAGUUUAUUAUAUAUUAAUGAAUUCAAAAUAUUUUCUGAUUUUGGCUCUUCUUGAAAAUAAGGAAAUUGAAUUUAAUUGACUCCUUAAUUUAUUUUAUUUUCCUUACUAUGCUCCUCUCUUCUACUAUAUAAAUAAGACCCUCCUCCUCUCAUUCUCUCAAUUCAUUAACUCAUUCAUUCUCUCUUAACACAAGAGUUAGACUUCUUAAACUCUCUCAUUCCCUUACUACUCAUAUUAUUGCUACUUUUAAACAAACUAAGUUUUUGAUAACUUUCAAGUGCUACUUGGCUACUUUGCUUUGUCAGAGAAAGAGUAAGAUCAAUUCGUUUUCGUUGCUAUCAUUCAUUUUUUGCUUAACCGGUUAGUUUUCUUUUUGCAUUCAUACAUUUGUUUAGUUGAUUGUUCUAUUAUUUUCUAUAUGUAUAAUUUGUUGUUAAGCACUUGCAUGUGUGUCUCACCUUAUCUAAAUAAAUAUGAUUACUUGUGUAGUUAUUGGAUUGCUUUGACAGGUUUCAAACUUGAAGUUCAAGUUGAAGAUUAGCCAUGAAGAAAGAUUAUUUGUUUAAUUCAUAUAUUUGAAUCUAUUUAUUUCUUAUCUAUUUAUUUGAAUUUUUUUUGAAUAUUUGUAUAACUCUAAAGCUCUCAUUUAUAAAUUAUAUUUGGGGAUCGUCUAAAAGGAGGGGGGAUUGUAUGCAAAUUUGUAAUGUUUUUCGUGUUAGAAAGCAUGCUUAUAGGACUAAAAUAUUUUUGCGUCAUCUAUAUAUGUGUUGUUUUAACUUUCCAAUCGCCUAGAAAUCAUAGGUUUCACAAGCUAAUCUCUAGUAUGUUGACUUACAUUGAAAGGAGCAAAAGCUUUAAUUGUCAAUUUGUCCCUUAUUUGUUAAUAUGAAUUCUUUUUAAUAAGUUUGAAUAUGUUCACUUAGAAACCAUGCAUAUAGGAUUUAAUUAACUAAGAUUGUGCGUUAAAGUCACUCCCAAAUAAUUUUCAGCAUGUUUUACAACUAGAUAAUCUCAAUAUUUUCAACUCUAUGAAAAAGAGCAAAUUUUCUGUACAUUAUUAUUUUGUGUUACAUCAUAAAAAAAUUGUCAUACUAAUUUGCCUAGAAAAAUCUGCAAAAAAUAAAUAAAUAAUAGUUAAUAUUUUUCUGCAUCAUAAUUAACUUUUUGCAUCUAAAUCUGCUAUUAAUUAAUUUCUGCAUGUGUAAUUAAUUUCUGCCUAAAAAAAUAUAUUAAAUUUUUAACAUUAACAACCAAAUUUGUAAAUAUGUCAAUGUUUGAAAAAAGAAUUUUUGCAUUUAAACAAACUUGUCACUUAUUUAGAAUAAUUUUCUGCAUUAAUAUGAGAUCUAUUGUUGUUCUUAAAAUAAAUUUUCUACCUAAAUAAAUAAUAAAUUUACUGUCCUAAGUUAUAUUUUGCAUUGAUAGUUAAUUUUUAUGUUGUUUUAAAAUACAUAUGCAUGUGAGAUCACAUUCCUUUGCCAUUUGGAAAUAAAAUAAAAUAUAUCAUGUCACUAAUUGUUGCUCACUUUAAAGUUAAUACUAAAAUAUACAUCUAUGUUAUUAUAUUUGUCUUCUCGUAAUUAAUUUUUUGUUAUUAUAACUUUGUAUGUUCACACAUUCAGCAUGAAACCUUUCACAAUUAUGUAUUGUUUGCAAGUAUAUCUAAUUAAAAUUUAAAGGCCAAGUUGAAACUUACCAUGCUAAACUGUUUGUCUUGUUCUCUAGGAGGGUCUUAUAUUCUAUUUUGUCUAAACCCACACCAUUAAGAGUCCAAUGCCUCUUGGACAUUAAAUUUGGGACGAUUAGGAACCUUUUAGGUACGAAAUGCAUGCGGUAAUUGGGUAGUGAUAGUUGGCCCUACGGAGAUGAUGACAUCGACUCAGGCUUAAAAGACAAACCUUGAUUUUAUUUGUCCCUAUACGGCAGCCUAUCAGAAAAAUAAAAGAAAAGCCGAAACUGAUCCAAAAAGUCUCUUUUGAGUCUCCCUUCCCUUUUUUACCCUUUUACUUGUUUAAUAAUUAUGUUUAUUUGGGGUAGUUUACAAAUAUAUAAAAUUAUUUGCUUAUUCAUUUGUCUCUUUUCUAUCUUCUCGCUUGUCUAUUUAUUAAUUGCUUAGUAUAUAUUUUGUUACUAUCACUUAGACUCGCAUGUUUAAAUAUUAAUUAAAAUAAUAACAUGAGCUAUUUGUUCGACUUGUUUAUCACAUAGUCUCGUAUGUUAAAUUAAAUAAAAAUGACUUUAACUAUUUAUUUAUUACUAUCACCUAGCCUUGCAUGUUUAAAUUAAUUAAUAUGAUAAACAGUCUUAAUUGUUUUAUAUUUUUUAUUACUUAGCGAGCAUGCUAUUUGAUUAACUAAUAAAUGAAGUGGCCUUAUUUGCUACUUGUAACCCCCACAUAGAUUGCACAAGAUACAGUCAGGAUCCACAUUUGUAGACCUCGAGGGAUGCCUAACACCUUCUUUUGAGGUAAUUUGAACUCUUACCCUGAUCUCUGGCUCGUUGUCCUUAACUAGACUUAGUUAAGUUAGAUAGCUGCCCUAACGCGCCUUAAUUCGUUAGAUGACGACUCUUCAAAGCUCCAAAUCUCAAAAGAGUUGUUAGGUCGUGUACAAAACCCGUUUCGAUGAAAACAGAGCUCGACAGAAUGGCGACUCCGCUUGGGACAUUAGGUUCUUACCAUUAUGUGUUUCGUGCUUAUUUAUGUGGGGUUUACUUUAUUUGGUCAUAUUAUUAUUUGUUAGGUGCUUACCAUGUUUAGUUUAUUUUGUUGGCUUAUUUAUCAUCCUUUUUCCAUGUUCCACCCAUUACCUCUCUCUAAUUUGUUUAUUAUCAUGUAUCACCUUUUUCCUCUUCCUUUAUUUGUUUACUUACAUGUUUAAUCUCAUAUCCUCUUCCUUUUUUGCAUGAUUUUUAAUAUGUCUACAUGUUUACUCCCCUUUAUUUAUUUAUGCUUAUUUAUUUAUUUAUUAUUUUAUAAACUGUCUAUAUGUUACCGCUUUCCAAUCUAAAUGCUAAGUGUUUACCGCUUUGAUGAGUGACAUUCCGUUCAUACUUCCCCUAAUUAGGACCUUUUCCCUUUUUAUUUUGUUCUCGUGAUGUUGUGCCUUUGCACCUAUCACAACUACUCCAAUUCUAUUCAAAUACCAAUUAUAGAGAGUUGGCAUAUGCGUGAACAUAACAGAUAGUUUUACUACCGCGAAACAACGAGCCUCUCGCAUAGAAUUCCUUUCAAGUCCGUGUCAAUCCAAAUCUUAAAAGUCCUAGUAGCCACCCUAUCGUCUAAAGGGCCUCAAUACCAUAUAGACAAAAUUUCAUACUUAUGUGUCAACAUGAUCAUAAUAAUCAAAUCAAGUGAACUUUGUCAAAAUGGAGUUUAGAAGUCAUUUGUUACUUUGUUAACCGAGUCAUGGCUUACCCUCAUUUCUCCAACACGCAAAUGGUGGUCAAACUUAAUCCCACUUUAAAGAUUUGGUUGGAAAUUUAUUCAGAAAAAUCAAGAGUUAGAAGCAAAUGAACUGCUAGGCGGCCUUACUGCUUUGAUCUCCGUAGAGUCAGAUCGUCAUUUAAUCAAGGCAUUGUUGAAAUAUAAUCUGGGACAAUGAGAGGUUAGUGUUCAAAUUCAAGGACUUUGAGAUAACCCCGACAAUUGAAGAGGUUGGAGGAUUCCUGGGUCUCGCAUACAAAGAGCGGGAAAUGAUUGUACCACACAAGCCAAGUCCAAGAUCUUUUCUGAAGCAAAUGGGCAUGCGUCAUAAUCCAAGUCUACUUUGUCUGAAAGAAGGUUGGAUAUCUUUAGAGUUCUUGUACUCACGCUUUAGGGAUGAGGAAGGUCAUCAAAACUUUCACAGAGAAUUUGCUUGCUCUUCUAAAAAAUGGGAAAGAUACCAUCUUAAUGCAUUCGCCAUUUCCCUAUUAGGCUCAUUGGUUUUCCCUAGAGAAAGGGGAAAGAUCCACACUAGGUUGUUUUACGUGGUUCGUAUGUGUGCUCGAGGUAGGAAGACCUUAGUCCCCAUGAUACUUGCGGAAUUCUAAGAGCCUUGACUGCGUGCACCAAGGGCAAGAGAUACUUCGAGGGGUGUGACUUUCUGGUGUAACUUUGGGCCGUUGAACAUUUCUACCAAAGAGAUAAUAAAGUAGACAUUGUUAGAAGGACUAUGGGGAACAAAAUUAUCAACCAUCGCUUAAGGAUGAAAUAUUUUAUUCCUCCUAUGGGAACAGAGGACUGGUUCACACAUCUAAAGGAGCGUUCAACCAUUGAAAUCCGAUGGAGGUAUUAUUGGUUGAAGCCACAACGUGCCAUAAUAAAGGAAAUAAACUUUACUUUAUCGAGCUUAUCGUUUUGAAUGGUGUGUAACCAUAUGCACCACUUCGAUUCCUACAUCAAUUCGGACAGAUCCAAAUGAUACCACUGCGAUCCCACAUGAGCCACUAUGGAUAUUACUUUAGGCCAGAAAUACCGCAAGUGAACACUAUACUGCGAAGAUGGGGGAAUGUGGUAACUAUCGAUGUUCAAGAAUACCGACCCUUUUGUACACAUGAAUAUUACGUAUGGAUUUCAGAAGACGUAGAGCAUAGAGAUUUGAGCGAAGGAGAUCUUCCAGGUUUUGGCGAUGAAGAGGAGAGAAGAUGGGCUCGCAACCUUCUCAACACCGAUUAUGAUAUCACCCCAGAAAUGAGGAAGCAGAUUGUGCCUAACAUUCGAGAGCAACAUAAUUGAUGUUUUUUCUUUAUUCCCCAUACAUUAUCCCUAGCCCUUUAGUUAUCUCUAGAUUGAUGUAAUAAAUCAAAUUUAUUUCAAUAUAAUAAAUGAAAGUAUUAUUAUCUACCUCUAACUUCAAUUGUCAAAUAAGGCUUGAAUUAAUUAUUGUGCAUCACUUAUGUGUCGCUUCGGCCUACCUUUCGCUCAACGAGGUCCCGUUCAUUUAGGGCGUUUAUAUCAAAACAACGUGUUGUUAUUAUUAACCCCCUAACAUCUUUUCUCUUGAUUCUAUUAUUUUCCCAUUUCCCAAGGUUGAUCUGUCCUUCAUCCUGGCACAUACACGAUCAAAAGAGACCCCCUUCUCAUUCUCCUAAAAAAGCAAGCUCCAAAGAUAAAGGUAAAAUGGUUGAUGACAACAACACCAAUGAAAGAGUUGAAGCUUCUGAGGGGGGACAACUUCCAAGUGAUCUUGUCCUAAGACUUGAAUGCAAGAUUCUAGAAUUGGAAGAAGAGGUAGCCCACAUACGCGAUUUGGCCAAGCCCAAUUUGGAGAAAACAUAGACAAUCUUCCUCACACUAACCAAACAACCAUGCCAAACAAUCCUUCAAUCAAUAUAUCCCGACAUGAACCCACUCAUCCAAAUACCUUUCCACCACCCCAUGCCCAAAAUACCCAAGUUCCGUUCCACCAUUAUUACCAACAAACCAAGCCAACCCUCCCAGAAACAACCCCAAAUGAAAAUCCUCCAUAUACUCUUGGAAACAACAACCUCAAUCCAAUAUAUGUGGAAACCGCUCCUCUGACCCAUGUCCUUCAUGAAUCAGAGUACCACCGAAAGGACAUUUUGAUAAAAAACCUGAUUGAGAGAUUAGAUGGCUUGACCAAUAGGGUGUAGCAUGUUGAGAAAACAAGAGGUUAGGAGGACUGAGCUACGAGGAUUUGUGUAUGCACCUGAUUAGAACUACCCAAAGGAUACAAGCUUCUAAAAUUUGAGAUGUUCAAUGGCAUUGGGGAUCCCAAAGCCCACCUAUGAAUAUAUUGUGACAAACUUGUAGGGGUGGGAAGAGACGAGAGGAUACUCAUGAAUCUGUUUAUGAGGAGUCUUACUGGGGAGGCCCUAGCAUGGUAUAUUGAGCAAGACUCGCGGAAAUGGGUCGAGUGGGUAGAUAUGGCAAUGGAUUUCAUAAAAAGGUUUGGUUUUAAUAUAGAAAAUGCACCUGAUUGGUUUUACAUUCAAAACUUGAAGAAGAAACCUAGUGAAUCCUUCAGAGACUACGCCAUAAGAUGGAGGUCUGAAGCGGCUAGGGCCAGACCCCCUAUGGAGGAAUCUCUGAUGAAAAACUACUUCAUCAAUGCCCAAUAACCAGAAUACUAUAACCGAAUUAUACUGGUGGCUGAAAAGAGUUUUGCUGAAAUCAUUAAACUAGGCGAAAGAAUUGAAGAAGACAUAAAGAAUGAGACUAUCAUCAACUUGGAGGCUUUUCAAGCAACCAAUAAAGCUCUGCAAUCUGGUGAAAUGACAAAAUCUAAAGAAAACAUGUCCUGUAAUGAUGGCUCAUGGAACCAAGGCCCCUUUGAGGCACCAGGAAACGAACCCACCUCCAUCCCCAUAUCCUCACACUCCAUACCUCAACAUCCCUCAGCUCCACCCCCUAUAUCUCCCCAACCCAUGACAAUAUAUUACCAAAACACUCCCCUCAAUAUUUGAAGCUUCAUAUCCUCUCUAUAAUGUCUUACCAACACACUUCCAAACUACACCAAUUACCGGAACAGACCUCCCUAUAAAAGAAGACCUACAGAAAAUUAUGCCCCUUUGGACGAACCCAUAACUCAACUUUAUGAAAGACUGAAACAGGCUGGGUACGUCUCCCCAAUUCCUGCAUUACCUGUGGAUGUUUGUGCAAAGUGGUACGACCCUAACAAGGUCUGCGCCGACCAAUCUGGGAUGAAGGGUCACAGUACCGAAGUUUGCAGAGCCCUCAAGGAUAAGGUUCAAAUGUUGAUUGAUACAAAAACCAUCUAACUCAAGGAUCCUACACCGAAUGUUGCAAAUAAUCCUCUUCCUAACCACCAAGUCAACAUGGUGGAAGUUGGUGAUAUCUGGGAUUGGGAAGAAUCUAUCUGGACCCUCGAAAAAGAAGAAGCCAUGUUUACCACCGCCCAAGCAUCGAUGAUAGUGCAACCACUUGCCCCAUUCGAAUUAGAAAUUGCCGCACCUAUACCACCGUUCACUGUCUAUAGGGCAUCUUCCCCGAUACAAUGUGAUACACAUGUUGUACCUUGGGAUUACAACAAAAGAGAAACGAAAGUGGAAGAGACAGAUGUUGCAACAGGGGUCACCAAAUCUAGAAGAAUUUACACUUCUAAGAAUUUGGUUCAGGGAAGCUCUAGCAAAUCCAAAACACUAGUCGUAGAGCUUGAAUAUAAGUGUAUCUGAUAAAAGGUUCAAGCUAAAGAAUACUCUGUCAUUGAGCAGCUGAGUAAAACCCCAUCCCAAAUAUCAAUCAUGGCGUUACUGCAAUCUUCUGAAACUCAUCGAAAUGCCUUUAUGAAGAUCCUUAGUGAAGCUUAUGUUCCAUCUAAAAUCACUCAUGAAGAGGUAGCCCAAAUGGUAGGGCAGGCUCAGGUUUGAACAUUUGCCCGCUGAUCACACCGACAAGGCUGGGCGUGGAUAGUGCGAAAAUUCAGGCAUGGAAGAUGAACGUGAGGGCAUUUGAGGCUCACAGAGGGGAACUAUUGGGGAGAUAACCUUGGACAUGCUCAUUGGUCCUGUCACUUUCCCAAUAGCUUUCCAAAUCUUGGACAUUCCCUUAUCAUAUAACAUAUUGUUGGGUCGUCCAUGGAUUCAUAUGGCUAGAGCGGUCACAUCUACUUUUCACGAAUGCUUGAAGUUUUAAUGGGAUUACGAAGAGGUUGUAGUCCAUGGAAAAAAGGGUAUCCUGUAUACACGAUUGAAGGAAGAAAACAUAUGGAUGGUGAAAUGUACCAUACAGUGGAGCUUGUUGGUAAUAUUGAAUUACAGUCUUGGUUUAGCCAAAAGAUCAUAGAUAUGAUGGCCUGGUUCGGUUUCGAGUUUGGGAAAGGUUUGGGGGCUGAAUUGUAAGGGAUAGUCGAACCUAUAUAACCUGUUCGACAUUCCACCACUUUUGGCUUGGGAUAUAAGUAAACUACCGAAGAAUGGCUCGAUUGGAAACCACCUAAAGAUGGGUACUAUUAUCCAUUUAAGAAACCCAUACCGCUAUUGCGUCAAUCAUUUUGAUCAGCAGGUUUCAUGGGAGACAUUAUUGAUGAGAUCUCAGACGACUUGAAGGGGUUGUCGUUGACCAAAGAAGAGGGAAAAGUUUGCAACGUCGCGAUCAACGAGGAGGAUAAAGGGGCCCUAGCAGAAGCAGGGAGGCAAAGAUCAGCAUCAGCAACUGGACCUCGACUCCAUGCAGACCUCGUCGGGCAUCUGGGUAGCCUUGGGAGAUGUUUUCUAUUAAGUUUUUAAUUUAAAUAAAGGAGUUUUCAAUAAACGUUUUUAAAUUCUCAUCCCCUAUAUUGUUUUCAAAUGAGAUUUUAUGCAACUUUCAAAUUUUUAUAAAUAAAGUCGUUUCCCCACUCAUUUGUUUUUACCUUAUAUUUAAUUGCGCUACUUUCUUUCUCACCAGCAAAAUCCACUAUAAAAAUGUUGAAUAUGAGUCUAUGGUAUAAAAUGAGACUGCCUAACUUAACUUUAAUGACUUAGAAGAAGUCGAAGACAAUGUGGUCCCUCAGGAGUUAAUAAAAAAGGUUGAGGAAUUCGAGGAAAACCCCAAUCAAAACCUGGUAGAGACAGAAGUGAUGAACUUUCAAAAUUCAGAGGUCAAACAAGAAAAUCGAGUAAGCAUCCAUAUGAAAAAAAAGGACAAGAAAGUGUAUAUCGAGUUUCUUAUAGAGAAUAAGGAUAUUUUCGCAUGGUCCUAUGCAUACAUGACAGGGUUAAGUACUUCAAUCGUAGAUCAUCGACUGCCCACUAAUUCAGGGUGUCCUCUUGUAAAUCAGAAGCUGAGAAAAUACAAGCAUGAGUUGAGUCUAAAAAUCAAAGAAAAAGUAUCAAAACAAUUAGAUGUUAGGAUCCUGCAAGUGAUAGGAUACCCAACUUGGCUCGCAAAUGUCGUUCCAGUGCCCAAGAAAGACGGCGAGGUCAAAGUUUGUGUGGACUAUCGGGAUCUCAAUAAGGCUAGCCCUAAAGAUAACUUUCCAUUACCAAGCAUACACAUACUAAUUGAUAAUUGUGCUAGGCAUGAAACAUAAUCAUUUGUGGAUUGCUUUGCUGGCUAUCAUCAAAUUGAGAUGUAAAAGACGAUGCUGAGAAAACUGCCUUCAUCACGCUGUAGGGCGUCUAUAACUAUAAGGUGACACCUUUUGGAUUAAAGAACGCUGGGGCUACGUACAUGACAGAAAUGACUACUUUGUUUCAUGACAUGAUCCACAAGGAAAUUGAAGUUUAUGUGGAUAACGUCAUCAUCAAAUCAAAGAAAAGUUCAAAUCAUCUGGAUGUCUUACGAAAAUUCUUUGCUAGGCUACACAAAUACAAUCUGAAACUGAAUCCAGCAAAAUGUGUCUUUGGUGUGCCUGUUGGAAAGAUUUUAGGUUUCAUUGUCAGUCGUCGAGGUAUAGAAUUGGACCCAUCAAAGAUCAAAGCCAUUCGUGACCUUCCCCCGCCAAAGAGUAAGAAUGAGGUAAUGAGUUUCUUAGGGCGACUUAACUAUAUUAGUCGUUUCAUAGGUCAGUCUAUCGUCAGUUGUGAUCCUAUCUUCAAGCUAUUAAAAAAGGUUGCUGCGGUAAAAUGGACAAACGAAUGUCAACAAGCAUUUGACAAGAUCAAAGACUAUGUAUCCAAUCCUCCUGUGUUGGUUCCACCUGAGUAUGGCAGACCAUUACUAUUGUACAUUUCAGUAUUAGAUAAUGCUUUCAGUUACAUCUGGGACAACAUGAUGAAAACAGGGAGGAAGGAUCAGUCAAUAUAUUACAUGAGCAAGAAAUUCACAUCAUGCGAAGCCCGAUACUCUCUAUUAGAGCGCACCUGUUGUUCUCUAACAUGGGUUGCCCAGAAGUUGCGACAUUACCUUUCAUCACACACUACUUAUCUGAUUUCAUGGAUGAAUCCUUUGAAGUAUAUCUUUCAAAAGCCCAUGCACACAGGUAAACUGGCAAAAUGGCACGUAUUGUUGAGUGAGUUUGACAUAGUGUAUGUCACGCAAAAAGCAGUGAAAGCACAUGCAUUAGCAGAUCACAUGGCGGAGAAUACAGUAGACAAUGAUUAUAUGUCGUUAAACACCUACUUCCCAGAUGAAGAAGCGGCCUUUGUGGGGGAGGACAUUUCUGAAGAAUAUGAUGGAUAGAGAAUGUUCUUUGAUGGAGGUAAAAAUUUGAACGGAUUCUGCAUCGGAGCUGUUUUGAUAUCACCCACCAGGCAACAUUAUUUGGUAUCAGUAAAAUUCAGAUUCUUUUGUUCAAAUAAUAUGGCCGAAUACGAAGCUUGCAUACUGGGGCUCCAUUGGGCGAUUCACUUGGAUGUACAGGAAAUUCUAAUAAUAGGGGAUUCAGACCUAUUGAUUCAUUAGGUUCUUAGGUUAUUGGGCAACGAAAAAUCGAAAGUUGUUACCAUAUUUGGAGUGCGUGCAUGAUCUAUGUACAAGGUUUGUCAAAAUAGAAUUUAGGCAUGUACCAAGGAUCCAAAAUGAAUUCGCAGGCGCCUUAGCCACUCUAUCUUCCAUGAUUCGACACCCUGAUCACAAUUACAUCGAUCCUAUUCACAUUUACCGACAUGAACAACCAGCCUAUUGUUUCCAUGUUGAGGAAGAGCCUGAUGGAAAUCCCUGGUACAAUGACAUUAGAGGAUAUUUGAAGAGUGGCGAAUACACAAAUGAUGCAACAAAUGUACAAAAGCGUACAAUUCAGAGGUUAGCAACCCUAUUUUUUUUAAGUGGGGAAAUCCUCUAUAGGAGAAUUCCUGACAUGGGGCUUCUAAGAUGCGUCGAAGCAGGAGAGGCUCGCAGGCUGGUUGAAGAGAUACAUGCAGGCACAUGUGGCCCUCACAUGAACGGUUUUACAUUAGCAAAGAAGAUUCUGAGAAUGGGAUAUUAUUGGCUAACUAUGGAGACAGACGACAUUCGCUACGUCUAGAAUUGUCAGCAAUGUCAGACUCACACACAUAUGAUUCGAGUUCCCCUCGACGAACUACAUGUCACUAGUUCACCUUGGUCGUUCGCAAUAUGGGGCAUGGAUGUCAUUGGUCCAAUCGAGCUAAUAACAUCCAACGGACACAAAUUCAUUCUUGUCAGAAUUGACUAUUUAACCAAGUGAGUUGAGGCCACCUCCCAGAAAUCAGUGACAAAGAAAGUUGUGGAUGACUUCGUCAAAAUUAACAUUAUUUGUAGGUUCGGAAUUCCUGAGUCAAUCAUCACCAACAACGGCACCAACCUAAAUAGUGAUCUGAUGAGAUCAAUGUGUGAGAAGUUCAAGAUCAGUCAUUUAAAUUCUACAACAUACAAGCCACAAAUGAAAGGGGUUGUUGAGGCAGCAAACAAAAAUAUCAAAAGGUUAUUGCGAAAGAUGAUUGAUAACCACAAACACUGAUUUUGGCUCUCCUUGAAAAUAAGGAAAUUGAAUUUAAUUGACUCCUUAAUUUAUUCUAUUUCCCUUAUUAUGCUCCUCUCUUCUACUAUAUAAAUAAGACCCUCUCCUCUCAUUCUAUCAAUUCAUUAACUCAUUCAUUCUCUCUUAACGCAAGAGCUAGACUUCUUAAGCUCUCUCAUUCUCUUACUACUCAUAUUAUUGCUACUCUUAAACAAAAUAAGUUUUCGGUAACUUUCAAGUGCUACUUGGCUCUUUUGCUUUGUCAGAGUAAGAGUUGGAUCAAUUCAUUUUCGUUGCUACCAUUCCUUUUUUGCUUAACCUGUUAGUUUUCUUUUUGCAUUCAUAUAUUUGUGUAAGUUGAUUGGUCUAUUAUUUUCUAUAUGUAUAAUUUAUUUUUAAGCAUAUGCAUGUGUGUCCCACCUUAUCUAAAUAAAUAUGACUACUUGUGUAGUUAUUUGAUUGCUUUGACAAGUUUCAAACUUGAAGUUCAAGUUGAAAAUUAGCCAUGAAGAAAGAUUAUUUGGUUAAUUCAUAUAUUUGAAUAUAUAUAUUUCUUAUCUAUUUAUUCGAAUUUUUUGUAAUAUUUGUAUAACUCUAAAGCUCUCAUUUAUAAAUUAUAUUUGGCGAUCGUCUAAAAGGAGGGGGAAUUAUAUGCAAAUUUGUAAUAUUUUUCGUGUUAGAAAGCAUGCUUAUAGAACUAAAAUAUUUUUGCAUCAUCUAUAUGUGUUGAUUUAACUUUCCAAUCGCCUAUAAAUCAUAGGAAUCACAAGCUAAUCUCUAGUAUGUUGAUUUACGUUGAAAGGAGCAAAAACUUUAAUUGUCAAUUUGUCCCUUAUUAGUUAAUAUGAAUUAUUUUUAAUAUGUUUGAAUAUGUUCACUUAGAAACCAUGCAUAUAGGAAUUAAUUAAAUAAGAUUGUGCGUUAAAGUCACUCCCUAAUAAUUUUCAGCAUGUUUUACAACUAGAUAAUCUCAAUAUUUUCAACUCUAUGAAAGAGCAAAUUUUCUGCAUACAUUAUUAUUUUGUGUUUCAUCAUAAAAAAUUUGUCAUACUAAUUUGCCUAGAAAAAUCUGCAAAAAAUAAAUAAUAGUUAAUAUUUUUCUGCAUCAUAAUUAACCCUUUUGCAUCUAAAUAUGCUAUUAAUUAAUUUCUCCAUUUGUAAUUAAUUUCUGCUCAAAUAAAUAUAUUAAAUUUUUAACAUUAAUAACCAAAUUUGUAAAUAUGUCAAUGUUCUAAAAAAGAAUUUCUGCAUUUAAACAAACUUGUCACUUACUUAGAAUAAUUUUCUGCAUUAAUAUGAGAUCUAUUGUUGUUCUUAAAAUAAAUUUUCUGCCUAAUUAAAUAAUAAAUUUGUUGUCCUAAGUUAUAUUUUGAAUUGAUAGUUAAUUUUUAUGUUGUUUUAAAAUACAUAUGCAUGUGAGAUCACAUUCUUUUGCCAUUUGGAAAUAAAAUAAAAUAUAUCAUGUCACUAAUUGUUGCUCACUUUAAAGUUAAUACUAAAAUAUACAUCUAUGUUAUUAUAUUUGUCUUCUCGUAAUUAAUUUUUUGUUAUUAUAACUUUGUAUGUACACACAUUCAGCAUGAAACCUUUCACAAUUAUGUAUUGUUUGCAAGUAUGUCUAAUUAAUAUUUAGAGGCCAAGUUGAAACCUACCAUGCUAAACUGACUGUUUUGUUUGUCUUGUUUGUUUGACUUGGUGUCUAGGAGGACCUUAAAUUCUAUUUUGUCUUGACCCACCCCAUUAAGAGUCCAAUGCCUCUUUUGACAUUAAAUCCGGGACGAUUAGGCACCAUUUAGGUACGAAAUGCAUGCGGUGAUUGGGUAGUGGUAGUUGGCCCUACGGAGAUGAUGACAUCGACUCAGGCUUGAAAGACAAACCUUGGUUUUGUUUGUCCCUAUGCGGCAUCCUAUCAGAAAAAUGAAAAGAAAAGUCGAGUGCUGAUCCAAAAAGUCUCUUUAGAGUCUCCCUUCCCUUUUUUUACCCCUUUACUUGUUUAAUAAUUAUGUUUAUUUGGGGUAGUUUACAAAAAUAUAAAAUUGUUUGCUUAUUCAUUCGUCUCUUUUCUAUCUUCUCGCUUGUCUAUUUAUUAAUUGCUUAGUAUAUAUUUUAUUACUAUCACUUAGACUCACAUGUUUAAAUAUUAAUUAAAAUAAUAACAUGAGCUAUUUGGUCGACUUGUUUAUCACAUAUUCUCGUAUGUUAAAUUAAAUAAAAAUGACUUUAACUAUUUAUUUAUUGCUAUCGUCUAGCCUUGCAUGUUUAAAUUAAUUAAUAUGAUAAAUAGUCUUAAUUGUUUUAUAUUUUUUAUUACUUAGUGAGCAUGCUAUUUAAUUAACUAAUAAACAAAGUGAUCUUAUUUGCUACUUGUAACCCCCACAUAGAUUGCACGAGAUACGAUCGGGAACCACAUUUGUGGACCUCGAGGGAUGUCUGACACCUUUUCUCGAGGUAAUUUGAACCCUUACCCUGAUCUCUGACUCAUUGUCCUUAGCUAGACUUAUUAAGGUUAUAUAGGUGCCCUAACACACCUUAAUUUGUUAGGUGGUGACUCUUCAAAGCUCCAAAUCCCAAAAGAGUUAUUAGAUCAUGCACAAAACCCAUUUCGAUGAAAAACGGGGCGCGAUAGAGUGCAUUGCACAAGGUAUAACCUAGGGUUAUUAAUGGUGAAGAGAUUGAAGAUAGGAUUUGUACUAGAGUUGCCUUUCCUAGUAUAGUAUGCUAAAGGGGAGCGAAUCUUUAUAGAUGAAGUUAAGAAAUAAAGAAGCUACAGAGGGUGAACAUGUUAAGUAUGGUGUCAAGAUAGGCUUAGUAUGUGAGGUAGUAUGGGCUGCCUUUUGUACAUUGCACAAACAUGUUUUGAGAUGGUUACAAGAGUAUAGUACUCUUUAGUAUGAAGAACAUAGGUCUUAAUUAUGAUAGUAGAUUGCGAUCAAGAAUGACCAAAGAGAAAUACUUAGCUAUGGUAGUAGUAUGGGAUGCUACCUUAGCCUUGCACAAGUAUACUUGGAGGUAGCUUGUGGUGUAGUUCACUAGAGUAAGAAGGGCAAGUAAGUAAAUAUGAAAUCCUAUGUGCUUUAUGAUGUUCUAAUAUGCUUAGGAUAUACAUUUUAUGCUUACGUCUUUUAUCUCUUAUGAUUAUGUCUAUUAUUGGCUAACCCUUUGAGAUAUCUUAUGUUUGGUAUGAUAGUUUCCAUACUUGUUACAUAUCUUACUAACACAUUGCCUACAUGUUUUUCAUGCAGGGUAUUGAGAAGAUUGAGUUGCUUUGAAGGGUAGAGUUCCAAGGUUCCCAAAAAGAGAAGAAGUGAUGAGUCCUCAUAGCUUCGACGACGAACCUUUAUGUUCCUUUAUGUUUUUAUUAUGUUUUAAACUUUAUGUGGGUUGCGCCCCAAGAUGUUUCAUUCAUGUCAAAGUUAGAUGGUUUUUGAGACAAUGUUAUUAGAGAUAGUUCC
RNAcentral lists this long non-coding RNA (16181 nucleotides) under Solanum lycopersicum (tomato). RNAcentral's name for it is "long non-coding RNA (SLYC_LNC001132)". Lineage: Eukaryota; Viridiplantae; Streptophyta; Magnoliopsida; Solanales; Solanaceae. The record is from RNAcentral.